GACGAACGCUGGCGGCGUGCUUAACACAUGCAAGUCGAACGGAAAGGCCCUGCUUUUGUGGGGUGCUCGAGUGGCGAACGGUUGAGUACCACGUGAGUACCCUGCCCUUGCCUUUGGGAUAACUUCAGGAAACUGGGGCUAAUACCGGCUAGGAGCUCCUGCUGCAUGGUGGGGGUUGGAAAGUUUCGGCGGUUGGGGAUGGACUCGCGGCUUAUCAGCUUGUUGGUGGGGUAGUGGCUUACCAAGGCUUUGACGGGUGGCCGGACUGAGAGGGUGACAGGGCACAGACGGAUACGGGAGGCGGCCGUAGGGCAUCGGGGGGCAUGGGCGGGGGAUUGUGCGAGAAGGGCCGAAGGAGUGAGGAAGGAUGCCGGAUCGUGGAGCACUGCCGUCGGGGUGGAAAGCGUGUGCGCGUGGAAAGAAGACUGUGUGACGGUAAAUUACAAGGAAGCACCGGCUAACUACGUG
This 468-nucleotide ribosomal RNA is filed under the name uncultured bacterium. RNAcentral's name for it is "partial 16S ribosomal RNA". It matches the Rfam family "Bacterial small subunit ribosomal RNA", at positions 28 to 507 of the family's 1533-position model. The record is from RNAcentral.